AGAUUGAACGCUAGCGGGAUGCUUUACACAUGCAAGUCGAACGGCAGCGCGGACUUCGGUCUGGCGGCGAGUGGCGAACGGGUGAGUAAUAUAUCGGAACGUGCCCAGUAGCGGGGGAUAACUACGCGAAAGCGUGGCUAAUACCGCAUACGCCCUACGGGGGAAAGGGGGGAUCGCAAGACCUCUCACUAUUGGAGCGGCCGAUAUCAGAUUAGCUAGUUGGUGAGGUAAAGGCUCACCAAGGCGACGAUCUGUAGCUGGUUUGAGAGGACGACCAGCCACACUGGGACUGAGACACGGCCCAGACUCCUACGGGAGCAGCAGUGGGAAUUUGGACAAGUGGGGGAAACCUGAUCCAGCCAUCCCGCGUGUGCGAUGAA
RNAcentral lists this ribosomal RNA (380 nucleotides) under uncultured soil bacterium. RNAcentral's name for it is "bacterial SSU rRNA". It matches the Rfam family "Bacterial small subunit ribosomal RNA", at positions 26 to 412 of the family's 1533-position model. The record is from RNAcentral.